CCAACACGCAGGACAAAGCACUGGAAGCAGACGCAGGGGCAUGAUGACUUCGACAUCCCCGAGCAGUUUGAACGACGCAGAAGCCGACUUGCUUAUCCCUUGAUGCUCCCGAGACAAAGAACUCCUGGUUAUCUCGUUUAAUUUCUGCAUCCAGCUCUGUGUAUGUGCGCUGCGGCACAUGGAAGCAUGAUCCCGCGAAGAUGAACAAGGUGUGCGUGGCUUGAGAUAAUCAAAUCAUACCUGGCUGGGUAUCCAACACUAACCCACUCCCAUGUAACUCCGUCUCCUCUGUAACAGCAACAGGGAUGCUCAUGGCAAUUAGCCGCUAGCUAGGUUCGGUGGCCCCUUUACCGUGUGGUAGCGCGGGGGGAAGGCGACGGGAAACAAUUCGACGGGCGCGGAUCCAAAGGGCUUGAUUCUUGAAUCUUGAUUCCGUUUCAAACCUUCAGAGCUCAAGAUUUUUCAACUCCCCAAAUGAGUUUUCUGGAGCAGAAAGCAAUUAUCAGUUGGUUCCAAGUUUCCAAGCUAGAUUUAGUUCUAGCUAAUCUAUAUCUCUGUUAUCCAGCCAUUGGCCCACCUUGAUUUUCUAUCAUGCAAGUGUCAUCCAUGGCCCUCUUCUUAGAACUAUCCUGUGGUUGGCUGUGUCGAUCAGGGCCCAAUUCUUAUUUUUUGUUUCUUUUUCUUCUUUCUUUUUCUUUAGCUACCUGCAGUUUAUGUGUCUCGAAAUCCAUACUGGCAGAAUGCUCUGCAUCAGUUAAAUAAGUAAAUGAUGAGCAAAGUCACAAGAAGGGAAGAAGCUCCGAAUAUCGGGGAUUCAUUUAGCAAAAAAGAACAACAAUGAAAAAGAUGCAGAAC
This 855-nucleotide small RNA is filed under the name Histoplasma capsulatum var. duboisii H88. RNAcentral describes it as "Histoplasma capsulatum H88 hypothetical RNA". The record is from RNAcentral. Lineage: Eukaryota; Fungi; Ascomycota; Eurotiomycetes; Onygenales; Ajellomycetaceae.